This 62-nucleotide non-coding RNA is filed under the name Pan troglodytes (chimpanzee). Lineage: Eukaryota; Metazoa; Chordata; Mammalia; Primates; Hominidae. The record is from RNAcentral.
CGCGGCGGCGGCGGCGGAGGGGGGCGCCCGCGCCCCCGCCCGCACGUCGCCCCUCCUGCGAG